UAUCCUACGGGAGGCAGCAGUGAGGAGUAUUGGUCAAUGGGCGAGAGCCUGAACCAGCCAAGUCGCGUGAGGGAAGACGGUCCUAUGGAUUGCAAACCUCUUUUGCCGGGGAGCAAAAAGCGGUACGUGUACCGCAUCGAGAGUACCCGGAGAAAAAGCAUCGGCUAACUCCGUGCCAGCAGCCGCGGUAAUACGGAGGAUACGAGCGUUAUCCGGAUUCAUUGGGUUUAAAGGGUGCGCAGGCGGCGAGUUAAGUCAGCGGUAAAAUUUCGGGGCUCAACCCCGACGAGCAGUUGAAACUGGCG
RNAcentral lists this ribosomal RNA (305 nucleotides) under uncultured bacterium. RNAcentral's name for it is "bacterial SSU rRNA". It matches the Rfam family "Bacterial small subunit ribosomal RNA", at positions 335 to 638 of the family's 1533-position model. The record is from RNAcentral.